GGGCGAGUGGCGGAAUUGGUAGACGCGCAGGCUUGAGGGGCCUGUGGGAGCAAUCCUGUGAAGGUUCAAGUCCUUUCUCGCCCACCA
This 87-nucleotide transfer RNA is filed under the name Candidatus Saccharimonadota bacterium. RNAcentral describes it as "tRNA-Leu". It matches the Rfam family "tRNA". From Rfam's summary of the family: Transfer RNA (tRNA) molecules are approximately 80 nucleotides in length. The record is from RNAcentral. Lineage: Bacteria; Candidatus Saccharimonadota.